RNAcentral lists this long non-coding RNA (750 nucleotides) under Marmota monax (woodchuck). The record is from RNAcentral. Lineage: Eukaryota; Metazoa; Chordata; Mammalia; Rodentia; Sciuridae.
GUUGCUGAGGCUGGCCUUGAGGUUAUGAUCUUCCUAUCUCAACCUCUUGAGUCGCUGGGAUUACAGGUGUGCUCUACUGUGCCUAGCCAUGAUUUACUUUUCCCAGAAUGAUGGGCGUCUAGGGAGUCUCCCAUUUUUUGCCAUGAUAGAUAUUGGUACAAACAAUAUGAACUCUUCUGGUUGUGAGUUACGGGAACCAGUUGCAACAAGCACAAGCAUCACAGAAAUGUAAAGUCCCCCAGAAUUGGACUGAAGGAGGCAGGCCAGGAUGCCAGGCUAGCCAUGUUGCUUCCUGGGACUCCUGUACUGGCUACCCAGUGCUCUCUGCUGCCCACUGUGUGUAUGCUUUCCCCCAUGGUAUACAGCCACAGCAGGAGGAUCUCUUCCUGCCUCCCUGACACUAUCCUGCCCCUCUGCCUGAUUCGCUUUCGGGCUUCAGAGGGUGCUCCCAGAAGGGCUGUCAGAGGGGACAUUUCAGGCCUGGGGAUGCACUAGCACCCUUGAGGUGCACCUGUAUGCACCCUGAGAACAGGAGCCUGUAACAAGUGCCCCAGGCUCUUCCCCUUCUUGGCAUUUCUCUGUAGCUCCUAGUGUCUUCUUUCCUUCUGUGAACAGAGUGCACCUCCACCUGCCUCGUCCCUGUCUCUGGACAAAUAAGGUGACUUGUGCUUCAUAGCCAUCAGACUCUGGGCUCUCACUGUACAGUGGGGGUCUUGAGGUGGGUGUGUGAGACACUGUGGUGGAGCAGUU